RNAcentral lists this microRNA (22 nucleotides) under Callithrix jacchus (white-tufted-ear marmoset). RNAcentral's name for it is "cja-miR-514b". Its record names the gene cja-miR-514b. Lineage: Eukaryota; Metazoa; Chordata; Mammalia; Primates; Cebidae. The record is from miRBase by way of RNAcentral.
UACUCAAGAGGGGGCAAUCAUG